AUCAUCUUCUGAUUGAGAUAUAUUUAGAUAAGUAAUUAGUCUUGAUAUGAUUCCAUGUCCAAAGCUCAUCUGGGGUGUUGUUUGACUGAAGGAUUGAAUUGCAUAGUAACUUACCACUGAAAGAUAUUUUUGAUAUUUUCAUCAAAUUCCAUCUCUUUCGAGUAUUCAUGACACGUUACUAGAUAUUAAUCUUGACUUGUGGACUUAUAAUAAUUAAAAGAGUUUAAUUCAAAAAUUAAUUAGGAAGAGUCCUAGUUAAUUGAUGCAAUUAGGCUAACUUAGUCUCAUCAGAUUAGGGUUAGGUCAAGAAUCUGAGUCCACUACUGGCUAGAUUUGG
RNAcentral lists this long non-coding RNA (337 nucleotides) under Elaeis guineensis (African oil palm). Its description in RNAcentral is "long non-coding RNA (EGUI_LNC044534)". The record is from RNAcentral. Lineage: Eukaryota; Viridiplantae; Streptophyta; Magnoliopsida; Arecales; Arecaceae.